AUGAAAAUGGACUCUACUUGGAGAGUUUGGACAUACGAAUUUGGGCUUGGGAGAACAAAAAAUGUUUUGGGCUUUGGCCUAUUGUUUAGUGUGCACCAGAUAGAAAAAGAUUGGACUUAUAGGAGGCCGCAAGAAACAAUUGUGGGAGCUCAACAGGAAACAUUCAAGAUGGAGCAUGUGGUAAGGGUUUUUGUUCUAUCUAAUUCAUGGUAAAGAUAUCGGGGAGCUGGUUAAAAAGAGUCAUGGUAGCUGUAGUGCUUAGCAGCCAAAGAUUACUAUUAAGGGAUGAAAAUAAAUGCAAAGUACAAACCUUAGAGGAAGAAAAGUGAUGCGAUGACCAAGAACAGCUUCCUGAACCCAUCAAAAGGAAACAAACUCUUUCUACAGAAAGGGUUCUUAGUGUUCUGAAAAGGAUAAGUGACGAGGACUAUUAGUUAUUGGGCUUUAAUCCUAAGAUGAUAUAACUCAUCAGUUGGCCAUGAUCAUAAGGCACAAUGAGAAUCUGAAGAGACAAGAGAAGAAUGGAUCUCCUGCACAUAUUAUAUCUGAGUUUGUGCAAUUAUUGCAGUGCAACAUACUUUGAUAAUGAGUUCAAACGGUUUAUUGCAUUUGAGAUUUGACAAAAUUUGAGUAGAAACAACUCUAAGUUCUUAUGCUCAUCAUGGUUUACAUGUCAGUUAUUGUUUUCCAUACUGUGUCACUUGAAUUAGCAAUGCCAACUCUUCCAACAUAGGAUUUUAGCUAUUGAAGAAGCAUGGGUGGAAAGAAGGGACUGGUCUUGGAGUCUCUGAGCAGUGGACAAAGUGGAAGCCUUGAAGCACUACAAAUUUAGCUUAGCAUUUGAAAUUCUAAUGAGAAAGAUUAUGUAAUUGAAAAAUUAUUUCAAUCCCUUGUUGCUGGUAUGCAUAUAUAUUUUAUCUCUAUUCUCUUGCUUGCAUUUACUCUAUAUACAACAUUAUUAAUGUAACACUAGAUGUUCGUGGGCU
Glycine soja is the source of this 986-nucleotide long non-coding RNA. RefSeq lists it as uncharacterized. The record is from RefSeq and is a predicted model, not a curated record. NCBI's taxonomy places the organism in Eukaryota, Viridiplantae, Streptophyta, Magnoliopsida, Fabales, Fabaceae. The transcript has 5 exons.